UAACCAUGCAAGUCGAACGCUCACCUUCGGGUGGGAGUGGCAGACGGGUGAGUAACACGUGGGAACGUACCCUUUGGUUCGGGACAACUCUGGGAAACUGGAGCUAAUACCGGAUACGCCCUUUUGGGGAAAGGUUUACUGCCGAAGGAUCGGCCCGCGUCUGAUUAGCUAGUUGGUGGGGUAACGGCCUACCAAGGCGACGAUCAGUAGCUGGUCUGAGAGGAUGAUCAGCCACACUGGGACUGAGACACGGCCCAGACUCCUACGGGAGGCAGCAGUGGGGAAUAUUGGACAAUGGGCGCAAGCCUGAUCCAGCCAUGCCGCGUGAGUGAUGAAGGCCUUAGGGUUGUAAAGCUCUUUUAUCCGGGACGAUAAUGACGGUACCGGAGGAAUAGGCCCCGGCUAACUUCGUGCCAGCAGCCGCGGUAAUACGAAGGGGGCUAGCGUUGCUCGGAAUCACUGGGCGUAAAGGGCGCGUAGGCGGCGUUUUAAGUCGGGGGUGAAAGCCUGUGGCUCAACCACAUAAUGGCCUUCGAUACUGGGACGCUUGAGUCUGGUAGAGGUUGGUGGAACUGCGAGUGUAGAGGUGAAAUUCGUAGAUAUUCGCAAGAACACCGGUGGCGAAGGCGGCCAACUGGACCGGCACUGACGCUGAGGCGCGAAAGCGUGGGGAGCGAACAGGAUUAGAUACCCUGGUAGUCCACGCUGUAAACGAUGAAUGCUAGCUGUUGGGAUGCAUGC
Molecule: ribosomal RNA, 741 nt
Filed under: uncultured bacterium
Lineage: Bacteria
Description: bacterial SSU rRNA
Rfam family: Bacterial small subunit ribosomal RNA
Source: RNAcentral